This 753-nucleotide ribosomal RNA is filed under the name Triticum aestivum (bread wheat). RNAcentral's name for it is "partial small subunit ribosomal RNA". Lineage: Eukaryota; Viridiplantae; Streptophyta; Magnoliopsida; Poales; Poaceae. The record is from RNAcentral.
AUGACUCUUCUCGCCACGGUUGGUCAGCCUCAUCCUCCGUCGAAGGUGAUCUCCCGCCGCGAGCACUCCAACCGGGGGCACCAGCUGAUCCGGGAGCCGACGGGCCAGUUCAAGUUCCAGUGCAACGGCUGCCUCGAGGAAGUCAGGGGGUGCGACAGGGACACGUGCAAGCGCUGCGACUUCGACCUCCACCAGGCCUGCAACCUCCAAGAAGGGACCACGCUGGAGCACGGGCUGCUGCCCGAGAGCAGGUUCGUGCUCCGCCUCGAGGCCCCCCCUUCCAAGCAGCGAUGCAGCGCCUGCGGCACCCACACGCAGGGCACCCACUACCACUGCGAAGGGACGGGCCAUUACCUCCACCCGUGCUGCGCGAUGCUGCCUAUGGAGAUCAAGCUGAGUGAUGAGCUCAGGUUCGAGCUCCGCGAGGAGGUGUCUCACUGCUGCACCAAGUGCAAGAAAGGAGGCGGCGUCAGGGACUACUGGUUCUACCGCUCCACCUCCAAGAAAGUGUACCUGCAUGUCGGCUGCGCGAGAGAGGUUCUUCUGCCGAGCUCAAGUAGUACUACCGACAAGGAGACUGCGUUACGGAAGCACGGGUCGGGGAAGGCCGGGAGGAACCCCGACCCCUUCUUCGAGAUCGUUAAGGCCCUGGCGAGCAUCAUCAUCGCCGUACUCACUGGAAAUCCGGUGGCGUUAAUUCCUGCACUGAUCGAUCUGGGCUCCAACGUCAUCAAAUCGUUGAAAAACAGGUAG